Molecule: ribosomal RNA, 425 nt
Filed under: Verrucomicrobiota bacterium
Lineage: Bacteria; Pseudomonadati; Verrucomicrobiota
Description: Verrucomicrobia bacterium partial 16S ribosomal RNA
Rfam family: Bacterial small subunit ribosomal RNA
Source: RNAcentral
UGAGGAAUAUUGGUCAAUGGGCGAGAGCCUGAACCAGCCACGUCGCGUGAAGGAAGACUGACCUUACGGUUUGUAAACUUCUUUUGUAGAGGGGUAAUGGCAGAUACGUGUAUUUUCGUGAAAGUACUCUACGAAUAAGCAUGUGCUAACUCCGUGCCAGCAGCCGCGGUAAUACGGGGGAUGCGAGCGUUAUCCGGAAUUAUUGGGUUUAAAGGGUGCGCAGGUGGCUAAGCAGGUCAGUGGUGAAAAGCUAUGGCUAAACCAUGGUCGUGCCAUUGAAACCGUAUAGCUAGAGAGGAGACGAGGUAGGCGGAAUGUGUGGUGUAGCGGUGAAAUGCAUAGAUAUCACACAGAACUCCGAUUGCGAAGGCAGCUUACCAGGCUUUAUCUGACACUUAGGCACGACAGCGUGGGGAUCAAACAGG